CCUACGGGAGGCAGCAGUGAGGAAUAUUGGUCAAUGGGCGCGAGCCUGAACCAGCCAAGUCGCGUGAGGGAAGACGGCCCUACGGGUGGUAAACCUCUUUUGCCGGGGAGCAACGGGCGCCACGUGUGGCGCCACUGAGAGUAACCGGAGAGAAAGCAGCGGCUAACUCCGGGCCAGCAGGCGCGGUAAUACGGUGGAAGCGAGCGUAAGCCGGAUUUAUGGGGUUUAAAGGGUGCGUAGGCGGAGCGUUAAGUCAGUGGACAAAUUGAGGGCCACAACCCCUUCCCGCCAUUGAAACUGGCGCUCCUGGGUGGAUGAGAAGUAUGCGGAAUGCGUGGUGUGGCGGUGAAGUG
Molecule: ribosomal RNA, 353 nt
Filed under: uncultured bacterium
Lineage: Bacteria
Description: partial 16S ribosomal RNA
Rfam family: Bacterial small subunit ribosomal RNA
Source: RNAcentral